This 681-nucleotide ribosomal RNA is filed under the name uncultured fungus. RNAcentral's name for it is "eukaryotic LSU rRNA". The stretch from base 215 to 368 matches the Rfam family "5.8S ribosomal RNA". The record is from RNAcentral. Lineage: Eukaryota; Fungi.
CUUGGUCAUUUAGAGGAAGUAAAAGUCGUAACAAGGUUUCCGUAGGUGAACCUGCGGAAGGAUCAUUCAUAAUAAGUGUUUUAUGGCACUUUUUAAAUCCAUAUCCACCUUGUGUGCAAUGUCAGUCGAUCUUCUUCAUGGAGGUCGACCAAACAUCAACCUAAUCUUUUAACUCUUUGUCUGAAAAAUAUUAUGAAUAAACAAUUCAAAAUACAACUUUCAACAACGGAUCUCUUGGCUCUCGCAUCGAUGAAGAACGCAGCGAAAUGCGAUACGUAAUGUGAAUUGCAGAAUUCAGUGAAUCAUCGAAUCUUUGAACGCAUAUUGCGCUCUUUGGUAUUCCGAAGAGCAUGCUUGUUUGAGUAUCAGUAAACACCUCAAAGCUUUUGGAUUUUUUUUGAAAGUUUUGGACUUGAGCAAAAUCCCAACACCAAUCUUUUUCAGAUCGGCGGCGGGUUGCUUGAAAUGCAGGUGCAGCUGGACAUUCUCCUGAGCUAAAAGCAUAUUCAUUUAGUCCCGUCAAACGGAUUAUUACUUUUGCUGCAGCUAACAUAAAGGGAGUUUGACCGCAUUGGCUGACUGAUGCAGGAUUUUACAAGGGUCGGCAACGAUUCUUGUUAAACUCGAUCUCAAAUCAAGUAAGACUACCCGCUGAACUUAAGCAUAUCAAUAAGCGGAGGA